RNAcentral lists this ribosomal RNA (1217 nucleotides) under metagenome. RNAcentral describes it as "SSU rRNA". It matches the Rfam family "Eukaryotic small subunit ribosomal RNA", at positions 1 to 1184 of the family's 1831-position model. The record is from RNAcentral.
UCUGGUUGAUCCUGCCAGUAGUGAUAUGCUUGUUUCAAAGAUUAAGCCAUGCAUGUCUAAGUAUGAGCGAACUUAUACAGUGAAACUGCGGAUGGCUCAUUAAAACAGUUUGAAUUUAUUUGAUGAAUGUAUGAGAAUACUACUUGGAUAACCGUAGUAAUUCCAGAGCUAAUACAUGCAACGACGCCCGACCGUUUCACUACGGAAGGGCUGUAUUUAUUGGAUACCAAAACCAUCCUUCCCUCGGGAAGUUUUGUUUGAUGAUUCACAAUAACUGAUCGGAUCGCCACUGUGGUGGCGACAGGUCAUUCAACAUUCUGCCCUAUCAGCUUUCGAUGGUUGUGUAGUGGACAACCAUGGCCAUAACGGGUAACGGAGAAUCAGGGUUCGAUUCCGGAGAAGGAGCUUGAGAAUUGGCUACUACAUCUAAGGAAGGCAGCAGGCGCGCAAAUUACCCAAUCCCGAUUCGGGGAGGUAGUGACAAAAAAUAACAAUACCGGGCCUUUUUGGGCUUGGUAAUUGGAAUGAGGGAGAGUUAAACGGACCAUCGAGUAUCCAUUGGAGGGCAAGUCUGGUGCCAGCAGCUGCGGUAAUACCAGCUCCAAUAGCGUAUAUUAAAGUUGUUGCAGUUAAAAAGCUCGUAGUUGGACUUGUGUGCGCUGUCCGCGGGUGGCCUGCGCCCAAAAGGGCGUUUCGGUUCGGCCCCGGUGGCGCCUUGAAAUCUGCAGCUGGGGGGACGUUGGCCUUAACUGGUCGGCGACCGCACGCCGGCUGCUCUGUUACUGUGAGAAAAUUAGAGUGUUCAAGGCAGGCAUUGGGUGCAAUUGAAUACAUUAGCAUGGAAUAAUAAAAUAUGGCUCCUGCCGUAUUUUGUUGGUUUUGACCGGUGGGAGUAAUGAUUGAUAGGGACGGUUGGGGGUGCUAGUAUUGAGCGGCCAGAGGUGAAAUUCAUGGAUUCGCUCAAGACUAACUUAUGCGAAAGCAUUCACCAAGGACGUCCUCUUUAAUCAAGAACGAAAGUUGGGGGAUCGAAGACGAUCAGAUACCGUCGUAGUCUCAACCAUAAACUAUGUCGACUUGGGAUCGGCGGUAGUUUUUUCAUUAAGACACUGUCGGGACCACGGGAGAAAUCAAAGUGUCUGGACUCUGGGGGAAGUAUGGUCGCAAGGCUGAAACUUGAAGGAAUUGACGGAAGGGCACCACCAGGAGUGGAGCCU